UCACUACUUCCUCUGUCCAACAAAGGAUGUUUUAAUUUUGACUAAAUUUGAAUGCAUGUAUACACUGAGUCAUGUCUAGAUACAUCCAAAUUUUGACAAACUUGAAACAUCCUUUGUUGCACGGAGGAAGUACAUA
This is a non-coding RNA of Brachypodium distachyon (stiff brome), 136 nucleotides long. The record is from Rfam. Lineage: Eukaryota; Viridiplantae; Streptophyta; Magnoliopsida; Poales; Poaceae.